Corythoichthys intestinalis (scribbled pipefish) is the source of this 71-nucleotide non-coding RNA. NCBI's taxonomy places the organism in Eukaryota, Metazoa, Chordata, Actinopteri, Syngnathiformes, Syngnathidae. The record is from the annotation of a RefSeq genome assembly.
GCGUUGGUAGUUCAGUGGUAGAAUUCUUGCUUGCCAAGCGGGAGGCCUGGUUCCGAUUCCCAGCCAAUGCA